GGGUUGUGAGGUUAAGCGACUAAGCGUACACGGUGGAUGCCCUGGCAGUCAGAGGCGAUGAAGGACGUGCUAAUCUGCGAUAAGCGCCGGUAAGGUGAUAUGAACCGUUAUAACCGGCGAUUUCCGAAUGGGGAAACCCAGUGUGAUUCGUCACACUAUCAUUAACUGAAUCCAUAGGUUAAUGAGGCGAACCGGGGGAACUGAAACAUCUAAGUACCCCGAGGAAAAGAAAUCAACCGAGAUUCCCCCAGUAGCGGCGAGCGAACGGGGAGGAGCCCAGAGCCUGAAUCAGCAUGUGUGUUAGUGGAAGCGUCUGGAAAGGCGCGCGAUACAGGGUGACAGCCCCGUACACAAAAGCGCAUGUGCUGUGAGCUCGAUGAGUAGGGCGGGACACGUGGUAUCCUGUCUGAAUAUGGGGGGACCAUCCUCCAAGGCUAAAUACUCCUGACUGACCGAUAGUGAACCAGUACCGUGAG
Molecule: ribosomal RNA, 476 nt
Filed under: Salmonella enterica subsp. enterica
Lineage: Bacteria; Pseudomonadati; Pseudomonadota; Gammaproteobacteria; Enterobacterales; Enterobacteriaceae
Description: partial 23S ribosomal RNA
Rfam family: Bacterial large subunit ribosomal RNA
Source: RNAcentral